Molecule: ribosomal RNA, 497 nt
Filed under: uncultured bacterium
Lineage: Bacteria
Description: partial 16S ribosomal RNA
Rfam family: Bacterial small subunit ribosomal RNA
Source: RNAcentral
GAUGAACGCUGGCGGCGUGCUUAACACAUGCAAGUCGAACGAAGCAUUUACGACAGAUUUCUUCGGAUUGAAGUUGUUUAUGACUGAGUGGCGGACGGGUGAGUAACGCGUGGGUAACCUGCCUUGUACUGGGGGAUAGCAGCUGGAAACGGCUGGUAAUACCGCAUAAGCGCACAAUGUUGCAUGACAUGGUGUGAAAAACUCCGGUGGUAUAAGAUGGACCCGCGUCUGAUUAGCUAGUUGGUGAGAUAACAGCCCACCAAGGCGACGAUCAGUAGCCGACCUGAGAGGGUGACCGGCCACAUUGGGACUGAGACACGGCCCAGACUCCUACGGGAGGCAGCAGUGGGGAAUAUUGCACAAUGGAGGAAACUCUGAUGCAGCGACGCCGCGUGAGUGAAGAAGUAAUUCGUUAUGUAAAGCUCUAUCAGCAGGGAAGAUAGUGACGGUACCUGACUAAGAAGCUCCGGCUAAAUACGUGCCAGCCGCCGCAGUAA